RNAcentral lists this long non-coding RNA (608 nucleotides) under Fukomys damarensis (Damara mole-rat). RNAcentral describes it as "lncRNA (ENSFDAG00000030815.1)". Lineage: Eukaryota; Metazoa; Chordata; Mammalia; Rodentia; Bathyergidae. The record is from RNAcentral.
AACAGAAUCUGGCUAAGUAAACACCCUCAAUGAAGCAGCUGGAGAGUUUAAAAUAAACAGAGCUACUGUGCCAAGUUCGUAAUUCCUUACACAUUCAGCACUCUGCCCCUUCUGAACAUGCCAUCGAAACCAGAUUUGUGUACUUGAUAUAAUUAUCCUGAAACCAGAGCUGCUCAAACACUGUGCCGUUUACAUACUUGAGCCCACUUUCCCCUUCUUUUCUCUCCUCCCGCUUUGUAAAAGCUGCAGUCUGUGUCCCAGGCUCAUGUCCAGGUAGCCUGUGAUGACUCCCUCCAGCGUGUUGGCCUGGGAACUCGCCUGGAGGAUUCGCAGUCCCUCCAGAGCCGCUGCUCUUUGGAAAAACAAGGCCUGUUCAGCACCGUCAUAUCAAGUGCUCUUCGGGAGGCUGCAAGAGGCUUCACACCUCCACUUAGAAGAGGUGACUGCAGUCCCGGGCUUAACCCUUCCCUGAGGGUCUCCGCAGUGAUGUCUUCAUCAAGUGCUGCCGCCGCCCCAGCCCGUAAGGGAGGUGCACCAAGGUGCCAUGGCCGGUGUCUCUGAAUGUAACCGGCCCCCGACAUCCACCUGUGCUGAGAACGUGAACGGAA